Molecule: long non-coding RNA, 379 nt
Filed under: Ananas comosus (pineapple)
Lineage: Eukaryota; Viridiplantae; Streptophyta; Magnoliopsida; Poales; Bromeliaceae
Description: long non-coding RNA (ACOM_LNC003385)
Source: RNAcentral
UAUCCACUAACCAAGUGUCUCCUAGAGACCACUUUAUCUUUUGAUACCAUAUGCCACAACCAACUCGAAUUCGUUCCUACAACGAACUUACACGGACACUCCGUUCGUGAAUCCAAGCCAAACUCAUCAGCAAAGUUAUUGGCUAAACCGCUCAUCUCGAUUUCCACAACCAACUCGAAUUCGUUCCUACAACGAACUUACACGGACACUCCGUUCGUGAAUCCAAGCCAAACUCAUCAGCAAAGUUAUUGGCUAAACCGCUCAUCUCGAUUUCCACAGGUAGACCACAGAUCACCGAUCCUACGUAGGCCUACCGCCUAAACCUGUCGCAACUAUGCACAGCAUCUCUCGCUCACAAGCGUAGACUCAAUCAUCACUG